Molecule: ribosomal RNA, 164 nt
Filed under: Acer monspessulanum subsp. monspessulanum
Lineage: Eukaryota; Viridiplantae; Streptophyta; Magnoliopsida; Sapindales; Sapindaceae
Description: 5.8S ribosomal RNA
Rfam family: 5.8S ribosomal RNA
About the family: 5.8S ribosomal RNA (5.8S rRNA) is a component of the large subunit of the eukaryotic ribosome.
Source: RNAcentral
AAAAUGACUCUCGGCAACGGAUAUCUCGACUCUCGCAUCGAUGAAGAACGUAGCGAAAUGCGAUACUUGGUGUGAAUUGCAGAAUCCCGUGAACCAUCGAGUCUUUGAACGCAAGUUGCGCCCCAAGCCGUUAGGCCGAGGGCACGCCUGCCUGGGUGUCACGC